UGUGUCAGAAUGGGGGUAAAGAAAAAGAAAAGAAUUAAUAAUACUAAAUCUAAAGGCGAUCAAAGCUCUCCGGCAACGGCGCCAAAUUUGAUACCACUCAAAUUACCCUAAGGAGUGAAUUACUCUCUCAAAUAAGAGGUUCAAUAGUAGUACUUAGGGAUCGAAUCCACAAGUAGCUAGGGAACCUAUUAAAUCGAGAUGAUUAUUAAUUCUAAGGUUUUGUUGUUUAUUGGUUUAAAAGUAAAUAGCAAUCCUAUAUGAGCAAGUCUAUUGCUCGACUAACAAGAUGAUUGGAGGUGUAACUUAUUCGAAAGAUAUUAGAUUCAGGGUUUCUAUUCAGGCCCUUAACACAGUGAUCAGCAAUGGCAAUGUUUCACUGGUUAACUAACUAGAUCUUGGAUCUCAACUGUCGUUUAUUGACCAUAAGAAAGUGUCGAUCAAUGGUCCUAUAGGGACAUCGAUCGAUACACCUUUCGCAAGAUCGAUCGAUUGUCAGAAGACAGUAUCGAUCGAUGCUUCUAGUUAAGCCAUAGGCGCAAGUUGAUAAUGAACACUAGCUUCCUGGUUCAGCGGUAGCCUUUUUCCUAUCGUCUAGUCUGACAGAUUAGAUUCAGGACUGGAUGGUCAAAGUUGCUUGACUUAUGCAGAUUCCUAGAUUUAAUAUUCUAGGUAGCUAAUCUAGAACAAGCAUUAAGAUCAAUCUAUCAAUAAAUACCACAGUUUAGCAAUCUAUAGUUCGAGCUAAUCCCUCUAACCUAUUUGAACCCUGAAUCUAACAAGUGAACUACUCAGACAUAGCUAAGCAUUUCAGCACACAAAAUGUAAAUGAAAAAUGCAUAGGAUAGAAUAGAUGAAUCAAAUGGAGUUCCAAUCACAAAUCUCUCUAUGAUCUUCUCUCCUAAAACUCUUUACUGAAAAUAAGAAAACACAAAAGGUGGCUGAAAAU
Molecule: long non-coding RNA, 946 nt
Filed under: Brassica napus (rape)
Lineage: Eukaryota; Viridiplantae; Streptophyta; Magnoliopsida; Brassicales; Brassicaceae
Description: long non-coding RNA (BNAP_LNC021152)
Source: RNAcentral